GAUGAACGCUGGCGGCGUGCUUAACACAUGCAAGUCGAGCGAAGCACUUAUGAAAGAUUCUUCGGAUGAUUUCAUUUGCGACUGAGCGGCGGACGGGUGAGUAACGCGUGGGUAACCUGCCUCAUACAGGGGGAUAACAGUUGGAAACGACUGCUAAUACCGCAUAAGCGCACAGUGUCGCAUGACACAGUGUGAAAAGCUCCGGUGGUAUGAGAUGGACCCGCGUCUGAUUAGCUGGUUGGUGGGGUAACGGCCUACCAAGGCGACGAUCAGUAGCCGACCUGAGAGGGUGAUCGGCCACAUUGGGACUGAGACACGGCCCAAACUCCUACGGGAGGCAGCAGUGGGGAAUAUUGCACAAUGGGGGAAACCCUGAUGCAGCAACGCCGCGUGAGUGAAGAAGUAUUUCGGUAUGUAAAGCUCUAUCAGCAGGGAAGAAAAUGACGGUACCUGACUAAGAAGCCCCGGCUAACUACGUGCCAGCAGCCGCGGUAAUACGUAGGGGGCAAGCGUUAUCCGGAUUUACUGGGUGUAAAGGGAGCGUAGACGGCGAGACAAGUCUGAAGUGAAAGCCCGGGGCUCAACCCCGGGACUGCUUUGGAAACUGCCUUGCUAGAGUGCUGGAGAGGUAAGUGGAAUUCCUAGUGUAGCGGUGAAAUGCGUAGAUAUUAGGAGGAACACCAGUGGCGAAGGCGGCUUACUGGACAGUAACUGACGUUGAGGCUCGAAAGCGUGGGGAGCAAACAGGAUUAGGUACCCUGGUAGUCCACGCAGUAAACGAUGAUCACUAGCUGUUUGCGAUACACUGUAAGCGGCACAGCGAAAGCGUUAAGUGAUCCACCUGGGGAGUACGCCGGCAACGGUGAAACUCAAAGGAAUUGACGGGGGCCCGCACAAGCGGAGGAACAUGUGGUUUAAUUCGAUGAUACGCGAGGAACCUUACCCGGGUUUGAACGCAUUCGGACCGAGGUGGAAACACCUUUUCUAGCAAUAGCCGUUUGCGAGGUGCUGCAUGGUUGUCGUCAGCUCGUGCCGUGAGGUGUCGGCUUAAGUGCCAUAACGAGCGCAACCCUUAUCUUUAGUUACUAACAGGUUAUGCUGAGGACUCUAGAGAGACUGCCGUCGUAAGAUGUGAGGAAGGUGGGGAUGACGUCAAAUCAGCACGGCCCUUACGUCCGGGGCUACACACGUGUUACAAUGGGGGGUACAGAAGGCCGCUACCUGGUGACAGGAUGCUAAUCCCAAAAACCUCUCUCAGUUCGGAUCGAAGUCUGCAACCCGACUUCGUGAAGCUGGAUUCGCUAGUAAUCGCGCAUCAGCCAUGGCGCGGUGAAUACGUUCCCGGGCCU
RNAcentral lists this ribosomal RNA (1349 nucleotides) under uncultured bacterium. RNAcentral describes it as "partial 16S small subunit ribosomal RNA". It matches the Rfam family "Bacterial small subunit ribosomal RNA", at positions 28 to 1381 of the family's 1533-position model. The record is from RNAcentral.